This 749-nucleotide ribosomal RNA is filed under the name Micrococcaceae bacterium. Its description in RNAcentral is "bacterial SSU rRNA". It matches the Rfam family "Bacterial small subunit ribosomal RNA", at positions 70 to 833 of the family's 1533-position model. Lineage: Bacteria; Bacillati; Actinomycetota; Actinomycetes; Micrococcales; Micrococcaceae. The record is from RNAcentral.
GAAGCCCAGCUUGCUGGGUGGAUUAGUGGCGAACGGGUGAGUAACACGUGAGUAACCUGCCCUUGACUCUGGGAUAAGCCUGGGAAACUGGGUCUAAUACUGGAUAUGACUUCUUGCCGCAUGGUGGGAGGUGGAAAGAUUUAUUGGUCUUGGAUGGACUCGCGGCCUAUCAGCUUGUUGGUGAGGUAAUGGCUCACCAAGGCGACGACGGGUAGCCGGCCUGAGAGGGUGACCGGCCACACUGGGACUGAGACACGGCCCAGACUCCUACGGGAGGCAGCAGUGGGGAAUAUUGCACAAUGGGCGCAAGCCUGAUGCAGCGACGCCGCGUGAGGGAUGACGGCCUUCGGGUUGUAAACCUCUUUCAGCAGGGAAGAAGCGAAAGUGACGGUACCUGCAGAAGAAGCGCCGGCUAACUACGUGCCAGCAGCCGCGGUAAUACGUAGGGCGCGAGCGUUAUCCGGAAUUAUUGGGCGUAAAGAGCUCGUAGGCGGUUUGUCGCGUCUGCCGUGAAAGUCCGGGGCUUAACUCCGGAUCUGCGGUGGGUACGGGCAGACUAGAGUGCAGUAGGGGAGACUGGAAUUCCUGGUGUAGCGGUGAAAUGCGCAGAUAUCAGGAGGAACACCGAUGGCGAAGGCAGGUCUCUGGGCUGUAACUGACGCUGAGGAGCGAAAGCAUGGGGAGCGAACAGGAUUAGAUACCCUGGUAGUCCAUGCCGUAAACGUUGGGCACUAGGUGUGGGGGACAUU